GGGGCCGUGGCGCAAUGGUAACGCGUCAGAUUCCAGUCCUGAAGAUUGGGAGUUCGAUUCUCCCCGGCCUCA
This is a transfer RNA of Ectocarpus siliculosus, 72 nucleotides long. It matches the Rfam family "tRNA". From Rfam's summary of the family: Transfer RNA (tRNA) molecules are approximately 80 nucleotides in length. Their secondary structure includes four short double-helical elements and three loops (D, anti-codon, and T loops). The record is from Rfam. NCBI's taxonomy places the organism in Eukaryota, Phaeophyceae, Ectocarpales, Ectocarpaceae.